RNAcentral lists this ribosomal RNA (253 nucleotides) under uncultured bacterium. RNAcentral's name for it is "partial 16S ribosomal RNA". It matches the Rfam family "Bacterial small subunit ribosomal RNA", at positions 524 to 776 of the family's 1533-position model. The record is from RNAcentral.
GACAGAGGGUGCAAACGUUGUUCGGAAUUACUGGGCGUAAAGCGAGUGUAGGCGGUCUGAUAAGUCGGGUGUGAAAGCCCCGGGCUCAACCCGGGAAGUGCACUCGAAACUGACAGGCUAGAGUACUGGAGAGGUUGGUGGAAUUCUCGGUGUAGAGGUGAAAUUCGUAGAUAUCGAGAGGAACACCAGAGGCGAAGGCGGGUUACUGGGCUGAUACUGACGCUGAUGCGCGAAAGCUAGGGGAGCAAACGGG